Molecule: long non-coding RNA, 571 nt
Filed under: Populus trichocarpa (black cottonwood)
Lineage: Eukaryota; Viridiplantae; Streptophyta; Magnoliopsida; Malpighiales; Salicaceae
Description: long non-coding RNA (PTRI_LNC003337)
Source: RNAcentral
AAUUCAGCAGUGGUUUUCCAGAACUGUAAUAUUUUUGCCAGGAAUCCCGGAACAGGACAGAAGAAUUUUGUGACUGCGCAAGGUCGCACUAGCCCUGAUCAAAACACAGGCAUUUCUAUACAAAACUGCCAGAUAGAGGCGCAGUCAGUCACAUAUCUUGGUAGGCCAUGGAAGCAAUAUUCUAGAACAGUUAUAAUGCAGUCCUCUUUGGAUGGUUCAAUAGAUCCUGCUGGUUGGUUUCCUUGGGCUGGUGGCUCCUCCCCCUCGUCAAUCUAUUAUGGUGAAUACUCGAACUCAGGCCCCGGCUCCUCUACUUCCGGCAGGGUCAACUGGCCUGGCUAUCAUAGCUCGCUUACCUCCGUAGAAGCUCAAAAGUUCACGGUUGGUAGUUUCAUUAGCGGGAAUGUUUGGUUGCCCCCCACCGGAGUUGCUUUCGAUUCUGGGCUGGGUGGUUAAGGCUCGAAAAUGGAAACUACGAUGGGGUCCAAAUGUGUUUAUUUUAUUAUAGCUGUCAUCUUUGUCCUAUCUUCUGUUUAAUUAUUUUCCUAAUUUAUUAUGUUGUUUUUGUUUA